CCUACGGGAUGCAGCAGUGGGGAAUAUUGCACAAUGGGCGGAAGCCUGAUGCAGCGACGCCGCGUGAGGGAUGAAGGCCUUCGGGUUGUAAACCUCUUUCAGCAGGGACGAAGCGUGAGUGACGGUACCUGCAGAAGAAGCACCGGCUAACUACGUGCCAGCAGCCGCGGUAAUACGUAGGGUGCGAGCGUUGUCCGGAAUUACUGGGCGUAAAGAGUUCGUAGGCGGUUUGUCGCGUCGUUUGUGAAAACCCGGGGCUCAACUUCGGGCUUGCAGGCGAUACGGGCAGACUUGAGUGUUUCAGGGGAGACUGGAAUUCCUGGUGUAGCGGUGAAAUGCGCAGAUAUCAGGAGGAACACCGGUGGCGAAGGCGGGUCUCUGGGAAACAACUGACGCUGAGGAACGAAAGCGUGGGUAGCAAACAGGAUUAGAUACCCUGGUAGUCCACGCCGUAAACGGUGGGCGCUAGGUGUGGGUUCCUUCCACGGGAUCUGUGCCGUAGCUAACGCAUUAAGCGCCCCGCCUGGGGAGUACGGCCGCAAGGCUAAAACUCAAAGGAAUAGCGNGNGAGNGCGACGAGCACAGGAGGUAG
Molecule: ribosomal RNA, 592 nt
Filed under: uncultured bacterium
Lineage: Bacteria
Description: bacterial SSU rRNA
Rfam family: Bacterial small subunit ribosomal RNA
Source: RNAcentral